CACGGAGCUUGCUCUGUGGGAUCAGUGGCGAACGGGUGAGUAACACGUGAGCAACCUGCCCCUGACUCUGGGAUAAGCGCUGGAAACGGCGUCUAAUACUGGAUACGAACCACGACCGCAUGGUCAGUGGUUGGAAAGAAUUUUGGUUGGGGAUGGGCUCGCGGCCUAUCAGCUUGUUGGUGAGGUAAUGGCUCACCAAGGCGUCGACGGGUAGCCGGCCUGAGAGGGUGACCGGCCACACUGGGACUGAGACACGGCCCAGACUCCUACGGGAGGCAGCAGUGGGGAAUAUUGCACAAUGGGCGAAAGCCUGAUGCAGCAACGCCGCGUGAGGGAUGACGGCCUUCGGGUUGUAAACCUCUUUUAGCAGGGAAGAAGCGAAAGUGACGGUACCUGCAGAAAAAGCGCCGGCUAACUACGUGCCAGCAGCCGCGGUAAUACGUAGGGCGCAAGCGUUAUCCGGAAUUAUUGGGCGUAAAGAGCUCGUAGGCGGUUUGUCGCGUCUGCUGUGAAAUCCCGAGGCUCAACCUCGGGCCUGCAGUGGGUACGGGCAGACUAGAGUGCGGUAGGGGAGAUUGGAAUUCCUGGUGUAGCGGUGGAAUGCGCAGAUAUCAGGAGGAACACCGAUGGCGAAGGCAGAUCUCUGGGCCGUAACUGACGCUGAGGAGCGAAAGGGUGGGGAGCAAACAGGCUUAGAUACCCUGGUAGUCCACCCCGUAAACGUUGGGAACUAGUUGUGGGGUCCAUUC
This 749-nucleotide ribosomal RNA is filed under the name Microbacterium sp. RNAcentral describes it as "bacterial SSU rRNA". It matches the Rfam family "Bacterial small subunit ribosomal RNA", at positions 72 to 834 of the family's 1533-position model. The record is from RNAcentral. Lineage: Bacteria; Bacillati; Actinomycetota; Actinomycetes; Micrococcales; Microbacteriaceae.